AUGAUGAAAAGAAUGAUCCUAUUAACAUUCCAAAUUUAUAAAAUUUGGGAUGUUACAGAUAUGCAAGAGCUUCUUCAUCAAGCGGAGCGUGCCGAACAGUGGGUCAAAGCAAAGCAAGUUUUCAAAGGCCGCACUAAUUUCAGCAUGGGGCGGCGUUCCUAUUCGCAUGAAGAUGAUAAUGUCAAGCCAGUUUCAUCAUAUAGGUCAGCUACCACCGAUCACAAGGAGAUGAGCAAAGAACCUAUGGCCGCGAGCAAAGUGGCUUCAAGGGCUGAUUCAAGCACUACUAGAAAAAGGGCUAUAGAUGGGAUUGAGACUAAUGGCGCACCAGACAAGCGGUGCGCCAUUAGUAUAUACUAA
RNAcentral lists this ribosomal RNA (360 nucleotides) under Triticum aestivum (bread wheat). RNAcentral describes it as "partial small subunit ribosomal RNA". The record is from RNAcentral. Lineage: Eukaryota; Viridiplantae; Streptophyta; Magnoliopsida; Poales; Poaceae.